RNAcentral lists this ribosomal RNA (520 nucleotides) under uncultured bacterium. RNAcentral describes it as "bacterial SSU rRNA". It matches the Rfam family "Bacterial small subunit ribosomal RNA", at positions 286 to 803 of the family's 1533-position model. The record is from RNAcentral.
GGGGCUCUGAGAGGUUGACCCCGCACAUUGGUACUGAGACACGGACCAAACUCCUACGGGAGGCAGCAGUGAGGAAUAUUGGUCAAUGGACGCAAGUCUGAACCAGCCAUGCCGCGUGCAGGAAGACGGCUCUAUGAGUUGUAAACUGCUUUUGUACGAGGGUAAACGCUCUUACGGGUAAGAGCCUGAAAGUAUCGUACGAAUAAGGAUCGGCUAACUCCGUGCCCGCAGCCGCGGUAAUACGGAGGAUCCAAGCGUUAUCCGGAUUUAUUGGGUUUAAAGGGUGCGUAGGCGGUUUGAUAAGUUAGAGGUGAAAUACCGGUGCUUAACACCGGAACUGCCUCUAAUACUGUUGGACUAGAGAGUAGUUGCGGUAGGCGGAAUGUAUGGUGUAGCGGUGAAAUGCUUAGAGAUCAUACAGAACACCGAUUGCGAAGGCAGCUUACCAAACUAUAUCUGACGUUGAGGCACGAAAGCGUGGGGAGCAAACAGGAUUAGAUACCCUGGUAGUCCACGCAGU